This 253-nucleotide ribosomal RNA is filed under the name uncultured bacterium. RNAcentral's name for it is "partial 16S ribosomal RNA". It matches the Rfam family "Bacterial small subunit ribosomal RNA", at positions 524 to 776 of the family's 1533-position model. The record is from RNAcentral.
UACGAAGGGGGCUAGCGUUGCUCGGAAUCACUGGGCGUAAAGCGCACGUAGGCGGAUCUUUAAGUCAGGGGUGAAAUCCUGGAGCUCAACUCCAGAACUGCCUUUGAUACUGGGGAUCUCGAGUCCGGAAGAGGUGAGUGGAACUCCGAGUGUAGAGGUGAAAUUCGUAGAUAUUCGGAAGAACACCAGUGGCGAAGGCGGCUCACUGGUCCGGUACUGACGCUGAGGUGCGAAAGCGUGGGUAGCAAACAGG